Molecule: long non-coding RNA, 627 nt
Filed under: Cricetulus griseus (Chinese hamster)
Lineage: Eukaryota; Metazoa; Chordata; Mammalia; Rodentia; Cricetidae
Description: lncRNA (ENSCGRG00000025988.1)
Source: RNAcentral
CUCAUUUUAUAAGCAAAGGAAAUGAUGCACAGAAAUGUUUAGCAACUGUCCAAAGUCACACAGCAACAAGGAGGCAGAACUGGGCUUGGAUCCCAUGCAGAACAGCAUGAAGACCUUUGUUCUCUAUCUGGUACUGGGAUGGCUCUAUGCUUGGAAGUGGCCAAGAGCUUGGACACUGGGGUCCGAGAGUUCUGGGUUCAUCCUCAGAGUCUCUUCUUUGUAACCACAACAUCUCAGAUGUCACCUAAGCCACAUCGAGUAUGGCAGGCCACCACAGCCAGGCCACACCAGCCACUAGGCAGGUGCAGGGGCCACAGUUCCAAGGUCUUUUUCUAAAGACACACCAUCACUUCCUUCCUAUCAAAUCAACUUCCGAGACUGAGAACAGACAAAAGGAUUCUUCCAGCUGACUGGAUGCUAGACCACAGAAAUACAGCUAAGGUACCAUUGCCUGGAUCACCUGUGGGUCACGACCCCUUUGACAAACCUCUGUCUCCAAACAGAUUUACAUUAUGAUUCGUAACAUAGUCACGAAGUAGCAAGGAAAAUAAUUUUAUGGUGUGGGGGAGGGUCACCACAACACAAGGAACUGCAUUAAAGUGUUGUAGUGUUAGGAAGGUUGAGAAC